Molecule: long non-coding RNA, 200 nt
Filed under: Elaeis guineensis (African oil palm)
Lineage: Eukaryota; Viridiplantae; Streptophyta; Magnoliopsida; Arecales; Arecaceae
Description: long non-coding RNA (EGUI_LNC012010)
Source: RNAcentral
CCAGCUGAGAUGAAGAAGUGGUCCAUGUGUUCGCUCCUACCGAUAGAGAAUUCAAAAUCCAUCUGAUCUCCCUCUUAAUAUCAAAAAUCCUACCACUGAACCUGAGUAGGGAGCUCUCCAUACUCUCCAGUCUAAUACUUAGAUCAAAUAAAAGCUCCAUUAAUGAAGAGAUGUGUGGCAUGAUAGAUAAAUUCGAGGAA